CUCUUAUCAAGAGAGGUGGAGGGACUUGGCCCCAUGAAGCCUCGGCAACCGAGAAGAUAGGUGCCAAAUCCAACAGAUGGCGCCUGAGAGAUAGGAG
Molecule: non-coding RNA, 97 nt
Filed under: Lysinibacillus sphaericus
Lineage: Bacteria; Bacillati; Bacillota; Bacilli; Caryophanales; Bacillaceae
Description: Lysinibacillus sp. SAM-I sequence
Rfam family: SAM riboswitch aptamer (S box leader)
About the family: The SAM riboswitch is found upstream of a number of genes which code for proteins involved in methionine or cysteine biosynthesis in Gram-positive bacteria. The SAM riboswitch acts at the level of transcription termination control.
Source: RNAcentral